AUUGAACGCUGGCGGCAGGCCUAACACAUGCAAGUCGAGCGAGCGGCGGACGGGUGAGUAAUGUAUGGGGACUGCCCGAUAGAGGGGGAUAACUACUGGAAACGGUGGCUAAUACCGCAUACUAUCGGAUAACCCAUAUGGGAUUAGCUAGUAGGUGGGGUAAAGGCUCACCUAGGCGACGAUCUCUAGCUGGUCUGAGAGGAUGAUCAGCCACACUGGGACUGAGACACGGCCCAGACUCCUACGGAGGCAGCAGUGGGGAAUAUUGCACAAUGGGCGCAAGCCGGAUACAGCCAUGCCGCGUGUAUGAAGAAGGCCUUAGGAUUGUAAAGCACUUUAAGUUGGGAGGCGUUACCGACAGAAUAAGCACCGGCUAACUCUGUGCCAGCAGCCGCGGUAAUAC
This 403-nucleotide ribosomal RNA is filed under the name uncultured bacterium. RNAcentral describes it as "partial 16S ribosomal RNA". It matches the Rfam family "Bacterial small subunit ribosomal RNA", at positions 30 to 526 of the family's 1533-position model. The record is from RNAcentral.